RNAcentral lists this ribosomal RNA (889 nucleotides) under Geosmithia sp. RNAcentral's name for it is "partial large subunit ribosomal RNA". It matches the Rfam family "Eukaryotic large subunit ribosomal RNA", at positions 38 to 961 of the family's 3401-position model. The record is from RNAcentral. Lineage: Eukaryota; Fungi; Ascomycota; Sordariomycetes; Hypocreales; Bionectriaceae.
GCAUAUCAAUAAGCGGAGGAAAAGAAACCAACAGGGAUUGCCUUAGUAACGGCGAGUGAAGCGGCAACAGCUCAAAUUUGAAAUCUGGCCCCCCAGGCCCGAGUUGUAAUUUGUAGAGGAUGCUUCUGGCGACGCGCCUUCCGAGUUCCCUGGAACGGGACGCCAAAGAGGGUGAGAGCCCCGUCCGGUCGUGCGCCUAGCCUCUGUGAAGCUCCUUCGACGAGUCGAGUAGUUUGGGAAUGCUGCUCUAAAUGGGAGGUAUACGUCUUCUAAAGCUAAAUACCGGCCAGAGACCGAUAGCGCACAAGUAGAGUGAUCGAAAGAUGAAAAGCACUUUGAAAAGAGGGUUAAAUAGUACGUGAAAUUGCUGAAAGGGAAGCGCUUAUGACCAGACUUGGGCUUGGUGAAUCAUCCGGCGUUCUCGCCGGUGCACUUUGCCGGUCCAGGCCAGCAUCAGUUCGUCCCGGGGGAUAAAGGCUUCGGGAAUGUAGCUCCUUCGGGAGUGUUAUAGACCGUUGCGUAAUACCCUGGGGUGGACUGAGGUACGCGUUCUGCAAGGAUGCUGGCGUAAUGGUCAUCAGCGACCCGUCUUGAAACACGGACCAAGGAGUCGUCUUCGUAUGCGAGUGUUCGGGUGUCAAACCCCUACGCGUAAUGAAAGUGAACGUAGGAGAGAGCUUCGGCGCAUCUCCGACCGAUCCUGAUGUUCUCGGAUGGAUUUGAGUAAGAGCAUACGGGGCCGGACCCGAAAGAAGGUGAACUAUGCCUGUAUAGGGUGAAGCCAGAGGAAACUCUGGUGGAGGCUCGCAGCGGUUCUGACGUGCAAAUCGAUCGUCAAAUAUGGGCAUGGGGGCGAAAGACUAAUCGACUUCUAGUAGCUGGUUUCCGC